Molecule: ribosomal RNA, 468 nt
Filed under: uncultured Hymenochaetales
Lineage: Eukaryota; Fungi; Basidiomycota; Agaricomycetes; Hymenochaetales
Description: eukaryotic LSU rRNA
Rfam family: Eukaryotic large subunit ribosomal RNA
Source: RNAcentral
GGCCUCAAAUCAGGUAGGACUACCCGCUGAACUUAAGCAUAUCAAUAAGCGGAGGAAAAGAAACUAACAAGGAUUCCCCUAGUAACUGCGAGUGAAGCGGGAAGAGCUCAAAUUUAAAAUCUGGCGGUCCCUCUGGCCGUCCGAGUUGUAAUCUGGAGAAGCGUUUUCCGUGCCGGACCGUGUACAAGUCUCUUGGAACAGAGCGUCAUAGAGGGUGAGAAUCCCGUCCAUGACACGGACCCCCGGUGCUUUGUGAUACGCUCUCGAAGAGUCGAGUUGUUUGGGAAUGCAGCUCAAAAUGGGUGGUAAAUUCCAUCUAAGGCUAAAUAUUGGCGAGAGACCGAUAGCGAACAAGUACCGUGAGGGAAAGAUGAAAAGCACUUUGGAAAGAGAGUUAAACAGUACGUGAAAUUGUUGAAAGGGAAACGCUUGAAGUCAGUCGCGUCGUCCNGGAACUCAGCCUUGCUC